Alligator mississippiensis (American alligator) is the source of this 114-nucleotide small nuclear RNA. It matches the Rfam family "U5 spliceosomal RNA". Rfam says of the family: U5 RNA is a component of both types of known spliceosome. The record is from Rfam. NCBI's taxonomy places the organism in Eukaryota, Metazoa, Chordata, Crocodylia, Alligatoridae.
AUGCUCUGGCUUUUUUUCAAGUGGUAUAAGUCUUUUCUAUUGUACUAAAGAUUUCUGUGGAGAGGAGCAGUUUUGAGUCUUACCCCAGUUUUUGAGGCUCUGGUUUGCUAGGGU